This is a non-coding RNA of Podarcis lilfordi (Lilford's wall lizard), 70 nucleotides long. NCBI's taxonomy places the organism in Eukaryota, Metazoa, Chordata, Lepidosauria, Squamata, Lacertidae. The record is from the annotation of a GenBank genome assembly.
GGUCAUAGCUCCGUGGUAGAGCAUCUGUUCUGCAUGAGGAAAAGCCCAGGUUUAAUCCCUGGCAUCUCCA